This 462-nucleotide ribosomal RNA is filed under the name Yersinia ruckeri. Its description in RNAcentral is "bacterial LSU rRNA". It matches the Rfam family "Bacterial large subunit ribosomal RNA", at positions 2487 to 2925 of the family's 2925-position model. Lineage: Bacteria; Pseudomonadati; Pseudomonadota; Gammaproteobacteria; Enterobacterales; Yersiniaceae. The record is from RNAcentral.
ACCGCCCAAGAGUUCAUAUCGACGGCGGUGUUUGGCACCUCGAUGUCGGCUCAUCACAUCCUGGGGCUGAAGUAGGUCCCAAGGGUAUGGCUGUUCGCCAUUUAAAGUGGUACGCGAGCUGGGUUUAGAACGUCGUGAGACAGUUCGGUCCCUAUCUGCCGUGGGCGUUGGAAGAUUGAGAGGGGCUGCUCCUAGUACGAGAGGACCGGAGUGGACGCAUCACUGGUGUUCGGGUUGUCAUGCCAAUGGCAUUGCCCGGUAGCUAAAUGCGGAAAAGAUAAGCGCUGAAAGCAUCUAAGCGCGAAACUUGCCUCGAGAUGAGUCUUCCCUGGGGCUUUAAGCCCCCUGAAGGAACGUUAAAGACUAUGACGUUGAUAGGCUGGGUGUGUAAGUGCAGCGAUGCAUUGAGCUAACCAGUACUAAUGAUCCGUGAGGCUUAACCUUACAACACCGAAGGUGUUU